This is a long non-coding RNA of Onychostoma macrolepis, 322 nucleotides long. RefSeq lists it as uncharacterized. The record is from RefSeq and is a predicted model, not a curated record. The transcript is spliced from 4 exons. Lineage: Eukaryota; Metazoa; Chordata; Actinopteri; Cypriniformes; Cyprinidae.
CGCGAAAGAAGCAGAGGUUAUAUAAGCAGCGGUCGUCACAUCACGCGCACAGCCGGACUCUGAGUGGACGUCGCCUGACCGGAGAGCUUUCACGAGCUGCUGCACCCCAAAGGCUCCACAGCACUUGUCACAAGUCUUUGGUUUUAUUUGUCAAGAUCAUCUGAAAAGAGUUCACCUGUGCCAUGUAAUGGACAAAUGUUCUGAAACUCACCCCCAACCUGAAUGCAUGACUCAACACCCUGGUUUCCAAGCAGUAUGUCUCAAUCCAUGGGUUCUUCAAGUUGAGUAUGCAUGCAUGCUCCAGUAUUAUGGUGAUUAUGAC